GAUGAACGCUGGCGGCGUGCCUAAUACAUGCAAGUCGAGCGAACGGACGAGAAGCUUGCUUCUCUGAUGUUAGCGGCGGACGGGUGAGUAACACGUGGAUAACCUACCUAUAAGACUGGGAUAACUUCGGGAAACCGGAGCUAAUACCGGAUAAUAUUUUGAACCGCAUGGUUCAAAAGUGAAAGACGGUCUUGCUGUCACUUAUAGAUGGAUCCGCGCUGCAUUAGCUAGUUGGUAAGGUAACGGCUUACCAAGGCAACGAUGCAUAGCCGACCUGAGAGGGUGAUCGGCCACACUGGAACUGAGACACGGUCCAGACUCCUACGGGAGGCAGCAGUAGGGAAUCUUCCGCAAUGGGCGAAAGCCUGACGGAGCAACGCCGCGUGAGUGAUGAAGGUCUUCGGAUCGUAAAACUCUGAUAUUAGGGAAGAACAUAUGUGUAAGUAACUGUGCACAUCUUGACGGUACCUAAUCAGAAGGCCACGGCUAACUACGUG
Molecule: ribosomal RNA, 497 nt
Filed under: uncultured bacterium
Lineage: Bacteria
Description: partial 16S ribosomal RNA
Rfam family: Bacterial small subunit ribosomal RNA
Source: RNAcentral